This 1372-nucleotide ribosomal RNA is filed under the name uncultured bacterium. Its description in RNAcentral is "bacterial SSU rRNA". It matches the Rfam family "Bacterial small subunit ribosomal RNA", at positions 28 to 1381 of the family's 1533-position model. The record is from RNAcentral.
GAUGAACGCUGGCGGCGUGCCUAAUACAUGCAAGUCGAGCGAACGGACGAGAAGCUUGCUUCUCUGAUGUUAGCGGCGGACGGGUGAGUAACACGUGGAUAACCUACCUAUAAGACUGGGAUAACUUCGGGAAACCGGAGCUAAUACCGGAUAAUAUUUUGAACCGCAUGGUUCAAAAGUAAAAGACGGUCUUGCUGUCACUUAUAGAUGGAUCCGCGCUGCAUUAGCUAGUUGGUAAGGUAACGGCUUACCAAGGCAACGAUGCAUAGCCGACCUGAGAGGGUGAUCGGCCACACUGGAACUGAGACACGGUCCAGACUCCUACGGGAGGCAGCAGUAGGGAAUCUUCCGCAAUGGGCGAAAGCCUGACGGAGCAACGCCGCGUGAGUGAUGAAGGUCUUCGGAUCGUAAAACUCUGUUAUUAGGGAAGAAUAUAUGUGUAAGUAACUGUGCACAUCUUGACGGUACCUAAUCAGAAAGCCACGGCUAACUACGUGCCAGCAGCCGCGGUAAUACGUAGGUGGCAAGCGUUAUCCGGAAUUAUUGGGCGUAAAGCGCGCGUAGGCGGUUUUUUAAGUCUGAUGUGAAAGCCCACGGCUCAACCGUGGAGGGUCAUUGGAAACUGGAAAACUUGAGUGCAGAAGAGGAAAGUGGAAUUCCAUGUGUAGCGGUGAAAUGCGCAGAGAUAUGGAGGAACACCAGUGGCGAAGGCGACUUUCUGGUCUGUAACUGACGCUGAUGUGCGAAAGCGUGGGGAUCAAACAGGAUUAGAUACCCUGGUAGUCCACGCCGUAAACGAUGAGUGCUAAGUGUUAGGGGGUUUCCGCCCCUUAGUGCUGCAGCUAACGCAUUAAGCACUCCGCCUGGGGAGUACGACCGCAAGGUUGAAACUCAAAGGAAUUGACGGGGACCCGCACAAGCGGUGGAGCAUGUGGUUUAAUUCGAAGCAACGCGAAGAACCUUACCAAAUCUUGACAUCCUUUGACAACUCUAGAGAUAGAGCCUUCCCCUUCGGGGGACAAAGUGACAGGUGGUGCAUGGUUGUCGUCAGCUCGUGUCGUGAGACGUUGGGUUAAGUCCCGCAACGAGCGCAACCCUUAAGCUUAGUUGCCAUCAUUAAGUUGGGCACUCUAAGUUGACUGCCGGUGACAAACCGGAGGAAGGUGGGGAUGACGUCAAAUCAUCAUGCCCCUUAUGAUUUGGGCUACACACGUGCUACAAUGGACAAUACAAAGGGCAGCGAAACCGCGAGGUCAAGCAAAUCCCAUAAAGUUGUUCUCAGUUCGGAUUGUAGUCUGCAACUCGACUACAUGAAGCUGGAAUCGCUAGUAAUCGUAGAUCAGCAUGCUACGGUGAAUACGUUCCCGGGUCU